UCCCACACGAAGCCUGACGUGCCCAGGCCCAGCUAAGGAAAGCUGCUGAGGCCAGGUGUAUGUCAGGAGUGUCCCGGCAUGGAGGCCUGGAGAGGCCAUGCAUGGAACUGUGAAGGUGAAGCUUAGAUUGUGCUGGAGACUCCAAGAUGUUGGAGAUGCCAUCUGUGGGGUACCUUCCACGGAGAGCUGCAUGCUGCCUGUGGAACCAGCCUAAGAGAAAGGUAUCGUGUUGCAGUCAACAAAGCUGGAAGGAGCUGGAGCUCUGAAGAUCGAUUUGACAUCAGACAUGGAAGAUAUAUAAUUAGGAAUUUGCCCUGUGGGUUUUGGUCUUGCUUUGGUCCUUAGUAUGCUCUCAUUCCUACCUUUUCGGAUGAUAAAAUAUACUCUGUGCCACUG
This 396-nucleotide long non-coding RNA is filed under the name Rattus norvegicus (Norway rat). RNAcentral's name for it is "long non-coding RNA NONRATT008109". Lineage: Eukaryota; Metazoa; Chordata; Mammalia; Rodentia; Muridae. The record is from RNAcentral.